UUUUCCGGUUGAUCCCGCCGGACCCUACUGCUAUCGAGGUGGGACUAAGCCAUGCUAGUCGGACGACCCCGGACUAUGGCGGGGGAGUGGCAGACUGCUCAGUAACACGUAGCUAACCUACCCUUGGGACCGGGACAACCCCGGGAAACUGGGGCUAAUCCCGGAUAUGUGUGGAGGCCUGGAAUGGUUCCACGCUGAAAGGUCUUUGUGUCCAUGUCGCACAUCGACGCCCAAGGAUGGGGCUGCGGCCGAUCAGGCAGUUGGUGGGGUAAAGGCUCACCAAACCUUUGACCGGUACGGGCCGUGAGAGCGGUAGCCCGGAGAUGGGCACUGAGACAAGGGCCCAGGCCCUACGGGGCGCAGCAGGCGCGAAACCUCCACAAUGCACGCAAGUGCGAUGGGGCUACCUCGAGUGCCGUCUGAAGAAGGCGGCUUUUCCACGGUGUAAUGAGCCGUGGGAAUAAGAGGGGGGCAAGACUGGUGUCAGCCGCCGCGGUAACACCAGCUCCUCGAGUGGUAGGGACGUUUAUUUGGCCUAAAGCGUCCGUAGCCGGCUCGAUAAGUCCUUCGUUAAAUCCGGCGUCCCAAGCGCCGGGCUGCGAGGGAGACUGUCAAGCUAGAGGGUGGGCGAAGUCAGCGGUAUUUCUGGGGUAGGGGCGAAAUCCUUUGAUCCCAGGAGGACCACCAGUGGCGAAGGCUGCUGACUAGUACACGCCUGACGGUCAGGGACGAAAGCUGGGGGAGCGAAUCGGAUUAGAUACCCGAGUAGUCCCAGCCGUAAACGAUGCAGGCUAGGUGUUGGAGCGGCCACGAGCCGCUUCAGUGCCACAGGGAAGCCAUUAAGCCUGCCGCCUGGGGAGUACGGCCGCAAGGCUGAAACUUAAAGGAAUUGGCGGGGGAGCACCACCAGGCGUGAAGCCUGCGGUUUAAUUGGAGUCAACGCCGGAAAUCACUAGU
RNAcentral lists this ribosomal RNA (957 nucleotides) under uncultured archaeon. RNAcentral describes it as "bacterial SSU rRNA". It matches the Rfam family "Archaeal small subunit ribosomal RNA", at positions 1 to 934 of the family's 1478-position model. The record is from RNAcentral.